UAUUAUUGAAAAAAUGCUGAACAGCUAGUCUCAACAGUGUUUAUAGGCUAGAAUUUUCAGUUUGCAUUAGGGCCAAAAUUAUUAAAUAUAUUGUUAGUCAUGACGGCUUUCCCAUUGCUGUCAUCAAACUUUAACCUUGUUCAUAACUUUUUCAGAUCUUUGAGUAUUGUCUUCAUACUUGGCCACAACAACCCUUCAAAUAGACCAGACUAAACUAAAUUAACUUGACCACCAUAUUAACAUUCAAGAAGUUCGGCCUACAUGUCAGAUUUAUGAAUGUGAACAGCAGGAUAUCGAUUUUAAGGAUGCUUUAGGGUCAAUGACAAUGAAAUCACGAGAGACAAAGGCUAAAAUGUGAGACUGUCAAUCUGACUAACCUUGAAGUGAACAAAUGGAAAAAAUGUCUCUUUCAAUAGCAUGGGCUUUUAAGGAAGAGGAAACAGAGGCGCUUAUAUGAUAGAACAGUAAAAGCAGGAGUGAUAAGGAAAGAUACAUGUAGAUGUGUCUUCAUGUCGGAAACACUAAAGAAAUAGAAAUAUUGUGGUUUUAUAAAACUUAAAAGAAAUUGGAAUAUCAGGAGACUGCCUGCCGUUUGCAAUGUUGGAUAAUGAGUUCUUAGAUGUGAUGUCGAAAGCCUCAUGAAUAUAGUACCAUGACUUAAUCUAAUUAGAAAAAGAAAUGACAUUGAGGAGAAAACUACUCACCAGUCUUUCACCAAGAACUAGAGAUAACUUUCCAAUAUUUGAAAUAUCAUAAUAUGUAUAGAACUUUAUUGAGCCACCAGUUUUUCACCAGGAAAAUAAGAUCACUUAACUAUUUUUAGCUCAUCUGUCACAAAGUAACAGGGUGAGCUUUUUUGAUCGCUUUUCGUCUGGCGUCCACUUUAAAUGACAUCUCCUCAUAAACUACUAAGCCAAUUUCAUCCAAACUUCACAGGAAUGUUUCUUUGGUGGUCACCUCUAAAUAUUGUUCAUAGAACGCUGGUUAC
Molecule: long non-coding RNA, 988 nt
Organism: Ruditapes philippinarum (Manila clam)
Lineage: Eukaryota; Metazoa; Mollusca; Bivalvia; Venerida; Veneridae
Exons: 3
Source: RefSeq, a predicted model, not a curated record